GAAAGGAUAGGAAAUACUAAAGCUUGGGACAUACCAAAGUGUCUUCCUUGUGAAAGCAGCAAACUCUCCUCUUGAAUUGAUCUUUUUUGUUUGUUCGUGGCAUCCAGGACCCGUGCGAUAAUGGAAGGAUUUAGAAAUUACAUCCUCUUUGAUUCUUUUCCUUUUCUUUUCUUUUUCUAAAACUUUGUUUCUUUUUUCUUUCUUUUUUCUACAAUUCCAGUACACAUACCUCGGUACAUACCACUUUCUUGAUGUAGAGCUCGAAUUUUCUUUGUCUUCAUCACUUUGGUAUUCCCCAAACUAUAGGGUAUAGCUGUAAUGGGCUAAAUAUCUCAUAUUGAGAUAAAAGGAUAUGGGGAAACAAAUGUGAGAAAAGAAAAUGGCUAAAAAUGAUUGGCUUCAAAAUGGGGUAAUGGCACACACAUAAAGGUAAGAAAUUAGGCCUUUUGGUGGUUAAGACAUGCAUAGCCUAACAUCGUCUCAAUGAGUUCAUUCAUGAAUGUUACCAAGCACAUGGUAUCUGCGAAAGUGAACAAUUCUUUGUGUUCAAUCAAACAAAAAUAAUGAGAUCAUUUGAAAUGAAAUUGAAGCUUUGAAAAAUAAGAGUAACAGCUUUGAAAAAAAAGAUAUGAUAUGAACUUUUUCAUGACAUCACAGUAGUCCUCAUUGUAAACCAUAGCCCUCAUAUACAUUCACAUUAGUAAGCAAAAGCAAACUUUAACCAGAACUAAAAACAAACGAAAAUCCCACACCCCCAAACCUAAACUAAGCAUUGUCCUCGAUGCUUUAAAAAAAGAAAAAAUGAAUGGAAUGGAUGCAAUGCAAAUUGGCACAGUGUGCAUGGAAAGAAAUAAAAUAAAAACUAAAAACCAACACAAAUAAACGGAAAGAACACAAACCCAGCUAGGUUGCCUCCAAGCAAGCGCUUUAUUUAAUGUCUAGGCAAGACAUGGUAGUGUGUCUAAGUUGCGAUAAACUCGAGAGAAUCUAUAACGACAUAAACCUGCUCCUGUGAAACAUUCUCCAAAUAAGGCUUCAAACGCUUUCCAUUGACCUUAAAACGGGUGCCAUUCUUUCCAUAACUCCAUGGGGAAAUACUUGAAGCACUUUGAAUGGUCCAACCCAUCUAGACUUCAAUUUACCUGGAAACAGUCGCAAACGUGAGUCAUACAAAAGUACUUUCAUACCUGGUUGAAACUCCUUCCUAAGAAUUGCUUUGUCAUGGUAGAGCUUGGUUCGUUCUUUGUAGAUCCUUGCAUUCUCAUAUGAUUCAUUUCUGAGCUCUUCCAACUCAUUGAGUUGGAGCUUCCUCACUGUACCAGCUUCUUUGAGAUCAAAAUUGAACUUCUUUAUGGCCCAAUAUGCACGGUGCUCGAGCUCCAUUGGCAGAUGACAUGCCUUUCC
RNAcentral lists this long non-coding RNA (1404 nucleotides) under Prunus persica (peach). RNAcentral's name for it is "long non-coding RNA (PPER_LNC003403)". The record is from RNAcentral. Lineage: Eukaryota; Viridiplantae; Streptophyta; Magnoliopsida; Rosales; Rosaceae.